RNAcentral lists this ribosomal RNA (492 nucleotides) under uncultured bacterium. RNAcentral's name for it is "partial 16S ribosomal RNA". It matches the Rfam family "Bacterial small subunit ribosomal RNA", at positions 29 to 507 of the family's 1533-position model. The record is from RNAcentral.
AGUGAACGCUGGCGGUAGGCCUAACACAUGCAAGUCGAACGGCAGCACAGUAAGAGCUUGCUCUUACGGGUGGCGAGUGGCGGACGGGCGAGGAAUACAUCGGAAUCUACUUUUUCGUGGGGGAUAACGUAGGGAAACUUACGCUAAUACCGCAUACGACCUACGGGUGAAAGCAGGGGAUCUUCGGACCUUGCGCGAUUGAAUGAGCCGCUGUCGGAUUAGCUCGUUGGCGGGGUAAAGGCCCACCAAGGCGACGAUCCGUAGCUGGUCUGAGAGGAUGAUCAGCCACACUGGAACUGAGACACGGUCCAGACUCCUACGGGAGGCAGCAGUGGGGAAUAUUGGACAAUGGGCGCAAGCCUGAUCCAGCCAUACCGCGUGGGUGAGGAAGGCCUUCGGGUUGUAAAGCCCUUUUGUUGGGAAAGAAAAGCAGCAGGUUAAUACCCCACUGUUCUGACGGUACCCAAAGAAUAAGCACCGGCUAACUUCGUG